UACGUAGGGGCCGAGCGUUGUCCGGAAUCAUUGGGCGUAAAGAGCGUGUAGGCGGCCACUUAAGUCCUGCGUGAAAUCCUGCGGCUCAACCGCAGGCGGUCGUGGGAAACUGGGUGGCUAGAGUGCGGGAGAGGAGAGUGGAAUUCCUGGUGUAGCGGUGGAAUGCGCAGAUAUCAGGAAGAACACCCGUGGCGAAGGCGGCUCUCUGGAACGCAACUGACGCUGAGACGCGAAAGCGUGGGGAGCAAACAGG
This 253-nucleotide ribosomal RNA is filed under the name uncultured bacterium. RNAcentral describes it as "partial 16S ribosomal RNA". It matches the Rfam family "Bacterial small subunit ribosomal RNA", at positions 524 to 776 of the family's 1533-position model. The record is from RNAcentral.